Non-coding RNA from Styela clava, 866 nucleotides. Lineage: Eukaryota; Metazoa; Chordata; Ascidiacea; Stolidobranchia; Styelidae. The record is from RefSeq and is a predicted model, not a curated record.
CAACGUUAGUUUCAAUUUGACAGAACUUUACUGGCUUAAUGAACUGAUGCAUGCUGAAGCAUGCAUUUCUUUCACAUUUAGGUUAUAUGAUAAAAAGUUGUCGAAAGUGAAAAACAGAACUUGGCACAUACAGAGUAAAUGACGAUGCGAAUUUAGAAUACAGUGGAAGAACACGAUUGCAUCCCGGUAUGGUACCGGUAACGGUUCAGGGAAUAUACGACUAGAAGAAGAUCAGACACAUGAAAAGGCAAUGUUUUCAGACUACUGGCAAAAAUAAACAUCAAGCGUUUGCUCUUGAUUGAAGAGCUGCAUGGGAUUUGUCGCUGUCGAGGAGGCUAGUGUCGUCAGCAAACAAUUUGGUUGAGAGCGAAGAGCAGUGAACUAUGUCAUUGACAUAUACUAGGAAAAAUAAUGGGCCCAAUAUACUACCUUGUGGAACUCCGUGAGUCACUGAUUUGAAGAGGGGGAUUACUCGAGCAAUUUUGAGACACGAAGGAAAGAUUCCUAACGAGAGAGAACAAUUAAAAAGUUCAGCUAAACAUGGCGAAAUGAGGUCAGCAACAAGUUUAAGGAACCGUGCUGGAAUAUUGUCUGGACCUACUGCCUUCCUAUCUUUCAGAUUUUGUAUUUCUAUUAUCACUUCGUUUGAAUCAGUCAAACUCAUGAAAAUGGACUGGCUUACACGAUUGCGAAGAAAAUGUUUGAAGCUAGUCAUAUCAUUAGAAAACUUGUCUGAGAGACUGGACCCAACCGUUGAAAAGUACUUAUUGAAUUCGGUAGCGAUUGAAAUACCAUCUUUAGUGAUACAGCCAUUCUCUCGGAAGAUUUCAUCAACAUUUGAUUUGGAUUUAUUAUUUGUAUGUGUA